UAGGGAAUCUUCCGCAAUGGACGCAAGUCUGACGGAGCAACGCCGCGUGAGUGAAGAAGGAUUUCGGUUCGUAAAACUCUGUUGUUAGAGAAGAACAGCGCAUAGAGUAACUGUUAUGCGUGUGACGGUAUCUAACCAGAAAGCCACGGCUAACUACGUUCCAGCAGCCGCGGUAAUACGUAGGUGGCAAGCGUUGUCCGGAUUUAUUGGGCGUAAAGCGAGCGCAGGCGGUCAAUUAAGUCUGAUGUGAAAGCCCCCGGCUCAACCGGAGAGGGUCAUUGGAAACUGGUUGACUUGAGUGCAGAAGAGGAGAGUGGAAUUCCAUGUGUAGCGGUGAAAUGCGUAGAUAUAUGGAGGAACACCAGUGGCGAAGGCGACUCUAUGGUCUGUAACUGACGCUGAGGCUCGAAAGCGUGGGUAGCAAACAGG
This 429-nucleotide ribosomal RNA is filed under the name Bacteroidota bacterium. Its description in RNAcentral is "Bacteroidetes bacterium partial 16S ribosomal RNA". It matches the Rfam family "Bacterial small subunit ribosomal RNA", at positions 355 to 776 of the family's 1533-position model. Lineage: Bacteria; Pseudomonadati; Bacteroidota. The record is from RNAcentral.